RNAcentral lists this long non-coding RNA (388 nucleotides) under Marmota monax (woodchuck). The record is from RNAcentral. Lineage: Eukaryota; Metazoa; Chordata; Mammalia; Rodentia; Sciuridae.
CUAAUAUUGAAAAUUUAAGAAUAUCAUAGAAGAUGUCAAGGAAUCCUAGGAUGGAAAUCAGAAUGUGACAACAGGAUCUAAAUAUAGCACAAAUAUGUGGAACAACCUCAUGGAAUGGAUCAGGGGAAUAAGUUGUCAAUCUACCUUUGGGAAUGGGUGGAACCUGUGAGAUUAAAUAUCAGGGAAUUAUACUAAAACUGUACUCACCCAACAUGUAGGAGGAAGAUGCUAAAAAUUCUAAGACAAUUGUAUAUGUAUUCUGGAAUCAAACAAUUAAAUGGAUUGAUGACCAGUGGUUGGUGUCAUGUUUCUCCCUGGUAGAAGAGGAGUUUAUAGAUAACCAGGGAGGAAUGUUGGAAGGAUCCUAUGUUGAUGUGUUAACAUUGAG